RNAcentral lists this ribosomal RNA (600 nucleotides) under uncultured Boletaceae. Its description in RNAcentral is "eukaryotic LSU rRNA". It matches the Rfam family "Eukaryotic large subunit ribosomal RNA", at positions 56 to 649 of the family's 3401-position model. Lineage: Eukaryota; Fungi; Basidiomycota; Agaricomycetes; Boletales; Boletaceae. The record is from RNAcentral.
GAAAAGAAACUAACAAGGAUUCCCCUAGUAACUGCGAGUGAAGUGGGAAGAGCUCAAAUUUUGAAUCUGGCAGUCUUUGGCCGCCCGAGUUGUAAUCUAGAGAAGUGUUUUCCGUGCUGGACCGUGUACAAGUCUCCUGGAAGGGAGCAUCAUAGAGGGUGAGAAUCCCGUCUUUGACACGGACUACCAGUGCUAUGUGAUGCGCUCUCAACGAGUCGAGUUGUUUGGGAAUGCAGCUCAAAAUGGGUGGUAAAUUCCAUCUAAAGCUAAAUAUAGGCGAGAGACCGAUAGCGAACAAGUACCGUGAGGGAAAGAUGAAAAGAACUUUGGAAAGAGAGUUAAACAGUACGUGAAAUUGCUGAAAGGGAAACGCUUGAUGUCAGUCAUGUCGGCCAGGGAUCAACCUUGCUUUUCUUGCUGGGUGCACUUUCUGGUCGACAGGUCAGCAUCAGUUUCUGUCGUCGUACAAUGACAAAGGGAAUGUGGCACUCUUUGGAGUGUGUUAUAGCCUUUCGUCGUAUGCGGUGGUUGGAACUGAGGAGAACUCGGCACGACCUUCAGUCUGUGUCUAGGAUGCUGGCAUAAUGGCCUUAAGCGACC